Molecule: long non-coding RNA, 825 nt
Organism: Haliotis rubra (blacklip abalone)
Lineage: Eukaryota; Metazoa; Mollusca; Gastropoda; Lepetellida; Haliotidae
Exons: 2
Source: RefSeq, a predicted model, not a curated record
GUUGGAUACAAUAGUUUAUCCACUCCGGCAAGUCAACUGCUGUAUACGUUAUUUACUCAGAGACGUCAGCUGGCAUACAUCAUCUGCUCGGACAAGUUCAACUGCUGUAUACGUUAUUUACUCAGAGACGUCAGCUGGCAUACAUCAUCUGCUCGGACAAGUGUGUUGUACAAUAGUUAUCUACUCCGGCAAGUCAACUGCUGUAUACGUUAUUUACUCAGAGACGUCAAAUGCCAUACAUCAUCUGCUCGGACAAGUGUGUUGUACAAUAGUUAUCUACUCCGGCAAGUCAACUGCUGUAUACGUUAUUUACUCAGAGACGUCAAAUGUCAUACAUCAUCUGCUCGGACAAGUGUGUUGGUACAAUAGUUAUCUACUCCGGCAAGUCAACUGCUGUAUACGUUAUUUACUCAGAGACGUCAAAUGUCAUACAUCAUCUGCUCGGACAAGUGUGUUGGUACAAUGGGUAUCUACUCCGGCAAGUCAACUGCUGUAUACGUUAUUUACUCAGAGACGUCAGCCGGCAUAAAACUUCUACUCAGACAGGUCAAUAUGGUAUGUGAUGGAUUAUUAUUAUUAGUCUGUGAGGCCUUCUCUUCCUGCCGAAAGAAGUAUUUAAAAUGCUCUAAUGGUGCCCCACAAACGACAGCUAAUGUACUUAAUUCUAAUAAUGCUGAUAAUAUUAAAUCUGUUGCCAUUUUCAUAAAACAUUUGAUGUCCAUCCGUAAAUCACAUGUAAAACAAUAAUUUCAUCUCUCGUGACAACUUCAAUUGUACUCUGGGUCACUGGGCCUUAACUACUGAAUAAAACUUCUCUGACCUGUU